RNAcentral lists this ribosomal RNA (254 nucleotides) under uncultured bacterium. RNAcentral's name for it is "partial 16S ribosomal RNA". It matches the Rfam family "Bacterial small subunit ribosomal RNA", at positions 524 to 776 of the family's 1533-position model. The record is from RNAcentral.
UACGGGGGGAGCAAGCGUUGUUCGGAUUUACUGGGCGUAAAGGGCGCGUAGGCGGCCACCGCAAGUCAGUUGUGAAAUCUCUGGGCUUAACCCAGAAAGGUCAACUGAUACUGCGGGGCUAGAGUGCAGAAGGGGCAACUGGAAUUCUCGGUGUAGCGGUGAAAUGCGUAGAUAUCAGGAGGAAUACCGGUGGCGAAAGCGACUCUCUGGACGGCAACUGACGCUGAGGCACGAAAGCGUGGGGAGCAAACAGG